UACGGGGGGGGCAAGCGUUGUUCGGAAUUACUGGGCGUAAAGGGCUCGUAGGUGGCCAACUAAGUCAGACGUGAAAUCCCCAGGCUCAACUUGGGAACUGCGUCUGAUACUGGAUGGCUUGAGUUCGGGAGAGGGAUGCGGAAUUCCAGGUGUAGCGGUGAAAUGCGUAGAUAUCUGGAGGAACACCGGUGGCGAAGGCGGCAUCCUGGACCGACACUGACGCUGAGGAGCGAAAGCCAGGGGAGCAAACGGG
Molecule: ribosomal RNA, 253 nt
Filed under: uncultured bacterium
Lineage: Bacteria
Description: partial 16S ribosomal RNA
Rfam family: Bacterial small subunit ribosomal RNA
Source: RNAcentral